AAGUGGAGCGGUAGGAAAUUAUUAUUUCGUUAUUAUUAGUAGUCGUUUGGUGUUGCUAUAGCUCGCUGUAAUAUAUAUACUAAGUCGGCGUUCUCGUUGUACAACAACUUGCGUCGUACACAAGAUCGUCUUGCGAUAAGAAGGAUGUAAACUGAAAACGCAACUUAUUGCUAAUCGGGAAAUGAGGAACGGACAACAACCUACACGCGAUUAAUGAUGGAGAAACGUUCGAGCUACAUAUUGAUGAGAUUCGAACGCCAGAAAGUGAAAAUGAUUUGCCUUAGCGGGACAGGCGCGUCAGAGGGGUUCAUUCAAUGCUCAUGUAUGCCCAUAGGGGGGUACGAAACCGGAUGAUUUGUGUGUAUUAUUUUGUUUACUUCUGUUUGUGGCCAAGGUCAAUGCGUAGAGCAAAACCAUUUUCCGAUAAGAAAAUAUGAAUUUAAGACAUGGAAUUUGUAUUUUAUAUUUAUAGACUGGCAAUAAUAUUUUGGAAUUGUCUAACGUAGGAGUGUUCCAAAAUCGAAGAUCGCGAAAUUCAAAAUAUGUGUUCUCGUAAAUAUUGAAUGAACCCCAACGACGAACCGCUUUCCCGUGAACGCUGACAGAUUAAUGCAUUGCAACUAUCGCUUGUUUACAUAUACGAGUCGACUACCGACGACGACGACGCCAUGGUGAUACGUCGUCAGUCGCUCACGAUUGCAAUGGGAAAGAGUUGUAAUCAAUAAACCAAUAGGCAGGAUCCGUCGUCACGGCUCGAGCCCAAUCAUGCAACACAAUAUUAUUCCGAACCAAGACCACGCCGCGCCGGUGAUAACCUACUGAUCUGAGCUCAUUCCGAUAGUGGGCUGUUUACGACCGAUUUAUAUUUCUGCUCGGUUACUAACAACGAUUGAAUAGUUUAACGUUGGAGAAAUUGAUGAACAAACAACACGAGAACCAGCAACAAAUGCGUCACGUGAGCACGUACCUUAUCCUUCUUAUCCUGUCGAGCAUACGGGAAGCAUGGUAUCACAGCGGUCACACGGGACGCGGAUGCAAUCUUGCACGCGUUGAUCAUAAUCAGCAGUUCCAUCAGGUUGUCGUUGAUCUCGCCGGAUCCGGACUGUACGAUGUAGACAUCUUCUCCGCGGACGGAUUCGCCGAUUUCCACGC
Molecule: long non-coding RNA, 1152 nt
Organism: Armigeres subalbatus
Lineage: Eukaryota; Metazoa; Arthropoda; Insecta; Diptera; Culicidae
Exons: 2
Source: RefSeq, a predicted model, not a curated record